UCAGUCCGUUAAGUUACACUGGACUAAUUCAGGAACGACCGAGUUCCAUUUUAAGCCUUUUUCGUCGAGCCAACUUCACCGAGGUCAGACGUCCACGUGGUCUCGCCAGCUACAACUAAGGAAAACUGCAAACAGCCAAAUUGCCAGACUGAGGAGGCGUUUUCAAUCAGACACGGAGAACCCUGGAGAAUCCCUAGCAAAAAAGCCAGGAUCGGUAGCUAGAGUGGGACCAGCAACAGGCCAAAAGCAGACUGUCGACAAGCACUUCUGGAAGCGAGGCAGGGUGUGCUGGCAGCAGAGGAACUGGCGUUCUAGAAAGGCAUCACCAUUGAUCUGAUGUCCGAUGAGGAAGAUGGCAGCUUUGAGGGGGUGUCAGGGUGGAUUGUGUGACCCCAAGUUUCCGCAGCCAGGAGCUCAGCGACCUCUGUUGCACGCUACAGACAAGACUCGAGGCUAAUCCCAAGUACAGCGCACUGCGUCACAGGUCUGUCUGUACAGUGGAUCAUGUUCAGACAGAAAGCUACCACCACAUGGCCCAGAGGUGGACAGUCAUUUCAUCCCCCAGCUGGGCAUUUGAUAUCUUUUGCAAAUUGCUUGUAAAUACGCAUUUGCUUUCUUUUUUUAAAUUAAAAAAGUUUCAUUCAA
Long non-coding RNA from Micropterus dolomieu (smallmouth bass), 645 nucleotides. RefSeq lists it as uncharacterized. NCBI's taxonomy places the organism in Eukaryota, Metazoa, Chordata, Actinopteri, Centrarchiformes, Centrarchidae. The record is from RefSeq and is a predicted model, not a curated record. The transcript is spliced from 2 exons.